AUGUCACAUGGUUGGGUGUGUGGGAGCUUUCCUUGGAUUCAUGACCCCAAAUAUUCUGGGGGAUGCAGAAUUCCCAAAGAGAGCUUGCAAGCACAGCUGGUGAGAGAUCUGGUUCAGAUAAAAGAUGUUAUUUCGAAUUGCAGGUGCAUGUCUUUGAAAGGGAACAGCAGCAGGAGCACCAGAAAUCCAUUCUAUUUGAUCAGGGCAUUAAAACAUUUACAGGUAGAGCUGUGUACACCCACCUUCAGAUCUACAGCUCCUGUGCCAGGAGAGAUGUGUGCAGUGGAUGUGCAUGUGUGUCCCAAAUGUUUAGAGCACACUGGAAUUGAGGGGCUGGGACAAUUGAUUUAUUUCCUUAUUUCUUUCUUUUCUUACUUUCUUUUUUUUUCAUCUUUUUCUCUUUCCCCUUUCCUUUCCCUUUCCUUUCCCUUCCCUUUCCCUUUCCUUUCCUUUCCCUUUCCUUUCCUUUCCCUUUCCUUUCCCUUUCCUUUCCUUUCCCUUUCCUUUCCUCUUCCCCCUCCUCUUCCCCUUACACUUCCUUUCCUUUCCUUCCCUUUUCCCUCUCCUCUUCCCUUUCCUUUCCUUCCCUUUUCCCUCUCCUCUUCCCUUUCCUUUCCUUCCCCUUUUCCUUUCCUUCCCCUUUUCCUUUCCUUCCCCUUUUCCUUUCCUUCCCCUUUUCCUUUCCUUUUCCCUUCCUUUUCCAUUUCCUUUUCCCCUUCCUUUUCCCCUUCUUUCCUUUCCUUUUCCCUUUCUUUCCUUUCUUUUCCCUUUUUCUUCCCUCUUUCCUUUCCCAUUUCCUUUCCCUUCCCCAUCCCUUCCCCGACGUCUCUCCCAACACGAAUCCCGCUGCCCUCAGGCCGUCCCAGCUCAGUCCCUGCCCGGCAGUGCCCCGCAGUGCCGAUCCCCGCAGCAGACCCGGCGCAGCCCGGACCGCGUCCUCCCGCUCCCGGUCCCGGCAGAGGGCGCCGCGUGCGCAGCGGGGCGGAGGGGUCGGGACCGGGGUCGGGGUCGGGGUCGGGGUCUGUCCGUGCGGGGCGCGCAGCGGCCGCCGAGCCGUUUCAGCACGGAAAGUUGGCGGAGCGGCGGCCGGAGCGGCGUCAGGCCCGCGGCUCGGCGGCUCGGCCCGGAGCUGCU
This 1134-nucleotide long non-coding RNA is filed under the name Phasianus colchicus (ring-necked pheasant). Its description in RNAcentral is "lncRNA (ENSPCLG00000008677.1)". Lineage: Eukaryota; Metazoa; Chordata; Aves; Galliformes; Phasianidae. The record is from RNAcentral.